GUGCCUCAAUCUAUUGAGUAAGGAAAUUAUUGGGCCUCGGUGACUCUUGGCUAUGUCCUGCUUAUAGGGCGAAACUAUUUUUGAACGGGUAAAGGUCGUCCUUGAGCUGUAAACCUACUUUGUUUGCGGCUCGAGUGAAGCGAUCUGCCUG
This is a small nuclear RNA of Ostrinia nubilalis (European corn borer), 151 nucleotides long. RefSeq annotates it as U12 minor spliceosomal RNA. NCBI's taxonomy places the organism in Eukaryota, Metazoa, Arthropoda, Insecta, Lepidoptera, Crambidae. The record is from RefSeq and is a predicted model, not a curated record. The transcript has a single exon.